This 289-nucleotide long non-coding RNA is filed under the name Rhinopithecus bieti (black snub-nosed monkey). RNAcentral describes it as "lncRNA (ENSRBIG00000045842.1)". The record is from RNAcentral. Lineage: Eukaryota; Metazoa; Chordata; Mammalia; Primates; Cercopithecidae.
AAGGAAUCCGAUCAAAAAGAGUUGCCAUGAGAUCCUGAUGACCAAUAACUGGGCAAUUUCCUAUUCUCUCAAAUCUGCGGACUCUGUCUUGAAUCACUACUUGCUCUCGAGAAAGUUCAGGGCUUCUGUGAUAGAGAAUAAGGAGAGAAAUGGGAGCGAAAGAAGAGAAAAAACAGAAACACCUCUCUGAAUGUGAAACACAGAUGUUUUAUUUUCGUGAAGUUGAAGAGAAAAGUGAAGCUGAGGAGAAAAUUGCACAAAACACAGCUGCAUUGUGCAAGAAAAAGUG